RNAcentral lists this non-coding RNA (102 nucleotides) under Enterococcus phoeniculicola. RNAcentral describes it as "TPP sequence". It matches the Rfam family "TPP riboswitch aptamer (THI element)". From Rfam's summary of the family: Vitamin B(1) in its active form thiamin pyrophosphate (TPP) is an essential coenzyme that is synthesised by coupling of pyrimidine and thiazole moieties in bacteria. The previously detected thiamin-regulatory element, thi box was extended, resulting in a new, highly conserved RNA secondary structure, the THI element, which is widely distributed in eubacteria and also occurs in some archaea. Lineage: Bacteria; Bacillati; Bacillota; Bacilli; Lactobacillales; Enterococcaceae. RNAcentral also lists the same sequence under 1 other name. The record is from RNAcentral.
AGCAGUUACUAGGGGAGUCUUUUUUUGACUGAGAUGUUCAUACGAACGGACCCUUUGAACCUGUAAGUUGAGACUUGCGUAGGGAAGUAGUCUAAAAAUCAU